This 1031-nucleotide ribosomal RNA is filed under the name Staphylococcus aureus. RNAcentral's name for it is "partial 23S ribosomal RNA". It matches the Rfam family "Bacterial large subunit ribosomal RNA", at positions 412 to 1451 of the family's 2925-position model. Lineage: Bacteria; Bacillati; Bacillota; Bacilli; Caryophanales; Staphylococcaceae. The record is from RNAcentral.
GUACGACGGAGCACGUGAAAUUCCGUCGGAAUCUGGGAGGACCAUCUCCUAAGGCUAAAUACUCUCUAGUGACCGAUAGUGAACCAGUACCGUGAGGGAAAGGUGAAAAGCACCCCGGAAGGGGAGUGAAAUAGAACCUGAAACCGUGUGCUUACAAGUAGUCAGAGCCCGUUAAUGGGUGAUGGCGUGCCUUUUGUAGAAUGAACCGGCGAGUUACGAUUUGAUGCAAGGUUAAGCAGUAAAUGUGGAGCCGUAGCGAAAGCGAGUCUGAAUAGGGCGUUUAGUAUUUGGUCGUAGACCCGAAACCAGGUGAUCUACCCUUGGUCAGGUUGAAGUUCAGGUAACACUGAAUGGAGGACCGAACCGACUUACGUUGAAAAGUGAGCGGAUGAACUGAGGGUAGCGGAGAAAUUCCAAUCGAACCUGGAGAUAGCUGGUUCUCUCCGAAAUAGCUUUAGGGCUAGCCUCAAGUGAUGAUUAUUGGAGGUAGAGCACUGUUUGGACGAGGGGCCCCUCUCGGGUUACCGAAUUCAGACAAACUCCGAAUGCCAAUUAAUUUAACUUGGGAGUCAGAACAUGGGUGAUAAGGUCCGUGUUCGAAAGGGAAACAGCCCAGACCACCAGCUAAGGUCCCAAAAUAUAUGUUAAGUGGAAAAGGAUGUGGCGUUGCCCAGACAACUAGGAUGUUGGCUUAGAAGCAGCCAUCAUUUAAAGAGUGCGUAAUAGCUCACUAGUCGAGUGACACUGCGCCGAAAAUGUACCGGGGCUAAACAUAUUACCGAAGCUGUGGAUUGUCCUUUGGACAAUGGUAGGAGAGCGUUCUAAGGGCGUUGAAGCAUGAUCGUAAGGACAUGUGGAGCGCUUAGAAGUGAGAAUGCCGGUGUGAGUAGCGAAAGACGGGUGAGAAUCCCGUCCACCGAUUGACUAAGGUUUCCAGAGGAAGGCUCGUCCGCUCUGGGUUAGUCGGGUCCUAAGCUGAGGCCGACAGGCGUAGGCGAUGGAUAACAGGUUGAUAUUCCUGUACCACCUAU